This 443-nucleotide ribosomal RNA is filed under the name uncultured bacterium. Its description in RNAcentral is "partial 16S ribosomal RNA". It matches the Rfam family "Bacterial small subunit ribosomal RNA", at positions 338 to 795 of the family's 1533-position model. The record is from RNAcentral.
CCUACGGGCGGCAGCAGUGGGGAAUAUUGGGCAAUGGGCGCAAGCCUGACCCAGCAACGCCGCGUGAAGGAAGAAGGCUUUCGGGUUGUAAACUUCUUUUCUCAGGGACGAAGCAAGUGACGGUACCUGAGGAAUAAGCCACGGUUAACUACGUGCCAGCAGUCGCGGUAAUACGUAGGUGGCAAGCGUUAUCCGGAUUUACGGGGUGUAAAGGGCGUGUAGGCGGGAAAGCAAGUCAGAUGUGAAAACCAUGGGCGCAACCUGUGGCCUGCAUUUGAAACUGUUUUUCUUGAGAACUGGAGAGGCAGACGGAAUUCCUAGUGUAGCGGUGAAAUGCGUAGAUAUUAGGAAGAACACCAGUGGCGAAGGCGGUCUGCUGGACAGCAACUGACGCUGAGGCGCGAAAGCGUGGGGAGCAAACAGGAUUAGAUACCCCAGUAGUC